RNAcentral lists this long non-coding RNA (1500 nucleotides) under Capra hircus (goat). Its description in RNAcentral is "lncRNA (ENSCHIG00000007040.1)". The record is from RNAcentral. Lineage: Eukaryota; Metazoa; Chordata; Mammalia; Artiodactyla; Bovidae.
AUUAUUUUGCUUUAUGUAUCUACAAAGCAGACCCCACUAGGAGCCUCACAUUCAUCACCUGCUUCAGUCUUCACAAGGGCUCCCUCAGGAAAGUAGUAGAAUGCUUUCCAUCACACAGGAGAAGAAAGAGAGGCACAGAGAGGGUCGGAAGCUUCCCCAAGGUCACACAGCGGGUGUUGGUGGAGCUGGGUGUUUGGAACUGGGCGAAAGGGGUAGGCGGGCGGUCAGAGCCUGACAUCACCAUGCCGGAUCUAGAGACCUCAUUUUGCUGGGAAGCCUGUGUGAGCGUCAGGCCUGCUCACUCUGCCUCGGCUGUGGACCCCUUCCGGGCGCAAGUUUCAGCCUCGCAGACCGAGUCAGGUGUCGAAAUCCCUCCUCUGAGUCCGCAGGUGGGGAAGUGAGGCUCAGAGAGGGACAGGGGCUUGCCCCAGGUCACACAGCCCACCAGGGGCAGGGCGGGAGGAGACCCUUGACCUCCCGCUGCCCUUGGCCCUCCCCAGCUCAGAGUUCAAGGAUGCGGAGAGGACCAGCCAGGGGUUAAAAUCCACCCAAACGCGGAACGGCAGCCCCAGCCGUCCCCCGGCCCGGGCUCACUCCCAGACCGCCGCCCCCACCGCGGGCCGGCCCGCAUCUGGGCGCAGGGAACAGAUUUCCCGUUUCACACAGCGCACAAUAGGCCGCCUCAAAGGCGCGCCGCGGGCAUUGUUCGGGCCGGCGCCCGCGCGUCCUACCUCCGCGCGCGAAUUAACCCCCGUCACCCUCGCCAUUGUCGCCGCGCACUUCGGGGCCGGCCACAAAGGCGCCAGAAAACCCUGCCGUGUUCGGAAGGAUGGGGGUGGGGGGAGGGAGCCACCGGGAUGCGAGGACCUGGGCCUGCCUGCCGUGAGUCCCGUGAUAGAAAAAUGCUCACCAGCGACUGGCCUGAACAGUCUCCACAAGUCAGCUUGGCCGCAGAGUUGUAAAGUGAUUUCUGCCAACCAAUAAACUGGAGAUGCAGGAUGAAAUAAAGCUCUCAGAGAGGCUCGUGGGAAAUGCUGAGGGUCUGAGGAGGAAGGGGGAGGUUCUGAAAAGAUAAGGCUGAGAUGAGAAGAGAAAACGGUAGGCAAAGAGAUUGCAUAUUUAGUCCCUUGUUCGGGGAGGUGAGACUGGGUCUUUGCUUUCUGGUUCUCUUGCUUUGAAUUGAUUCUGAGACUCUUAAGAAGAUGUUUGCCUGAUCACCGUGAAAGGCUCAUAUAAAGUAGAUGCUGGAAGGGACCAAUAUUUAGUGAGGGCCUAGUAUGUUCUGGGCCCACAUAAACUAUCUUAUGUGAUUCUUUCUAGUCGUCACCAUAGCCAAUGCCAGCCGAGUUUGGUAUCCUCAUUCCGGGGACUAGGAAACAGAGGCUCAGAGACGCUAAGUGGUUUUUCUAAGGACACACAGCUCAUAAGUGCUGAAGCUGGGAUUUGAACUCAAGUCUGUCUGGUUCCGUGCUUACUCUUGUCAUUAUAUCUCAAUGUGUC